This is a long non-coding RNA of Cephus cinctus (wheat stem sawfly), 3052 nucleotides long. RefSeq lists it as uncharacterized. The record is from RefSeq and is a predicted model, not a curated record. NCBI's taxonomy places the organism in Eukaryota, Metazoa, Arthropoda, Insecta, Hymenoptera, Cephidae. The transcript is spliced from 6 exons.
GUCGAUGAUUUCUAGGAUGAUUUGUAUGUUUCGGAUAAUGAGAAAGUGCACUAUAGGUUGGUCGACGUGGACUGGUUUUCUGAGGAGAUCUUCUCCGCCGACAAUUCUGUGACAGCAUCGACUGCAAAGAAGAAGAAAGAAGGAGACCGGAAGUCACUAACUCACCAAUUAAGCAGCUAAAUAAUGGCUGUGCACAUUGGAAAUUACGUGAAACGUCCCACAGGAAAGUUUUCUUGAAAAUUUAAGGAAACUCGUUACCGACGGGAAAUUAGACCGGAGUGCGAUGAAGUUGAAAGGGACUUGAAAAUGGGAAGCGGAAAAGUCCUAUUCCGAAAGAUCGAGGAUGGAUGUCAAUAAGUUGGCAAUUUUUUUUUCAUCCUCAAGAGAUUUCUUUGGGAAUGGUAGCUGUAAGUUGAAAAAGUUGGAAUCUUCGAAGAAACUAUAAAUUACUAUGAAUCCAUUAAUAAGGAUAUUCGCCCGGGGACCUCGAGAAGUCACGAAGAAAUUCCUUGGACGUCUGCAGAAGCGAAAGGAUUGGAGAGAAGGAAGAAAAAAAUGUCCUCACAAUAUUCAUUGUGAAAAUUCGGUAUUCGUCGACAAAUAUUGGGAGAGACAAACAUUUCUUUCAUGUCUGAAAAAUACCGAGAAAUUUAAUGGCGCAUGUCGUCGCAGAAGCUACGAGGAGAUAAUGGAAUGCAUGAUGGGGGUUGCGCUUAUCAAAAGUUCCCGAGGCUGUAUAAACUCCAAGAAUUUACAAAGGGAUAGAUUCUCAUAAGUGAACUCUCACGAUUUUGUUGAAACUUUCAUCCGUCUUUACUGGCCUUUGAAGCUGCCAUUUUAUAAUAAGUAUCUUGUAGGUACUCUGCAUUAAAUACUUAAUUCACUUGCGUUUCACGACACGUUGUGCUUUUACUGUGACAAACUUCAUGUACGUUCCGGUACUUGUGCAAAACAAAAUAGCGAUAUUAUAGCUGUUACAAUUUUUUUUUUAAUAAUUCAUGAAAAACGCCGAAUUUUAAGUGAGUGUAAAAAUACGACGUACGGUCUAAAAAUAUAUUAAUAUCAUCCAAAAAUAAAAAAUGUCGUGCAUAAGAAAUGGCUAUUCGGUCGCGUCCGUCGGGUGAAAAAUGUUCUGAAAUAUAUGUACGAUGAAAAGUAGCAAUUGAAUUGAGGAUACUAUAAACGAUUUCCGGUCAAUUCAAUCGCGACCUGUCAUCAAAUGUAACUCUGACGUCAUUCUAUUCGUUUAUUAUGAACGUAAUAAGAGAGUCAUAAAUCUCACGUUACUCAUUACUGUAUAUACGCAUAUGUGCAUAUAGUGUUAUCGGACUUUGUGAUAUUUUAAAUCCAAUCGAAAUGCGAUAGCAACCCCUGCACGAUAGCCUACAUGUAUACAUAGUGUAGACAAAAAAUCAAGCAGCAUCCCUUGAGGAUCAUAUUUAUUACUUUAUGGUUAGAAGAGUUUAAUAACAAAAUUCGCGAGAUAAGAAGGUUCUAAAUUAAUAUCUGUAUUUCUAACACGUGGCUCAUCAUUGCCAGAUGUCAGUGACGUGUGGGUAAUACUGCAACAGGCAAAUCGAGUACUGAUUGCAUAAUAGAAAAUCAUAUAAUAAUCGUAAUUCGAAUAAAGUACGAAAAUGUUGGCUCGUCCGGAAUUUUGAAUCUUGUUCUGUUUUUUAUUGAGAGAUCAGGAAGUAAUUCUGCCUUAGCCACUCAACCAAAAGAAGCGUAGUACUUUAACUUCAAAUAAAAAUUUCUCAGAUAAGUUUCAUGAAAUUGCCUCAAUAAUCAUGCAUGGUUUCCUCCGAAAAAGUUUGUUUGCUUUUCCGCUAUAAAAAAGCAGCAGUAGCCUGAUUCUUGAAAUUGCCAUUAAGUCGGAUUUUUUGUAAGUUUAAUAUUUCACUGCGAUAGGGGUUAACCGUAUAGGAAUUUAAGCUCGAUGAUAAUAGCCAAUAGGAUGGCAUGGAAAUGGGCGAUAAGAAUAUAUAUCAUCUAGUCCUAAAUUAUAUCUAUAGUUGCUAUUUAUCAGAUUAGAGCAAUAUAAUGCACCCCUAAAUCGUUCUCCAUUAUCUCAUGCGAUUUACGUUAUAGCACUACUCUGCUACAUGUUUACAGAUAAUAUCCUGCUGCAGACUGGCCUGAGAACAUACAAGCUGCAGUAUUUCCAUGAUUUCUGUAUAUUUUUAGAUCCAAUGAAAAUAUAUGGGUGACUUCUAAAUCACAUCUCAGCCUGAUGCCUGCAUUUGAAUAUGUCGAUAUCAGAAAUUCUAUCUUGACUCACAUUUGCGUAGUGCAGCUUGAGUGCAUUAAAAGGUACUUGGCAAUGUAUCCAGGUCUGGCCGAAUAAAUGAAGAUUAAAAAUUUUGAGAAUUUAAACUGCCUGAUGGUUUUAGGUGACAUUAUCCAAGCUCCCAUAGCCAUUUUGAAUAAUUGUCCAAAAUCGAGUGGCUGUCACGUGAUGGAACACGAGGGUGAUUUUCAACCGAAAAUAAACUAUCCGAAUGACCCGUUAGCGAUUACGGACCGGUUCUACGUGGUCGAUUGAAACAAGGUCUCCACGAUAAAUCUGAAAUUGAUGGGAUUCAAAAGUGCUAAUUAGAUAUUCAGGAAUCCGAAAUGAUGAAACUCAACGCUGGACCAUUUGCAUACAUAGACAAGUUCAGGAUCCGGUAGUCACCGGAUAACGGAGACUCAUGAAGAGUUUUGAUCUCUUACGUUUCAUAUUAAUAAUGCAAUACUGUCAGGACUUAUCAAGGUAUAAAUAUGCAUAUGACAAGUUUCGUAUUAUUGGAUCACUAAGUAUGAAACGUAACCUUACUUCAAGUACUUCCAGUACGAAUUUGGACAUUUCAUACUUGAUAACCUAUUUUACCUAUUAAUAAACCUUCAACGAGAUUCGUGUGUUCCUAUUAUGUAGAAAUAUUCACUUACCAAGCAUUCGUAUAACGUUUCGCUGAGCUGCACCUUUUCCUCUGGAGCUGUCACCGUGAUUUAGACUGUUGGAUAUGGAGGUUCUCUUGACAGCCGUGAGCAACCUUGAGCUCCUCAACUU